This is a non-coding RNA of Caretta caretta (loggerhead turtle), 1256 nucleotides long. The record is from RefSeq and is a predicted model, not a curated record. Lineage: Eukaryota; Metazoa; Chordata; Testudines; Cheloniidae.
GAAUCGCAGGACGCUGGAGCACUUCACCAUAAAGCAAGGACAGCUGCAAUGGAAGUGCUGGCUUCCCGGCAAUGUGCCUCCAUCCCUACCCGGAGGGGCCAAGCUCUCGGAGCCAAUGCAGCCAGGAUCCCAGUUCUCUGCUGGUGUUAUCAGUGCAGCUCCAGCCAGUUACAGCAGCAGUGAACGUGUUCCUGGCUCUCCGGCCCCUCCAGGUGAAAGAGAAAAAAAAAAAAGUGCGUGGACACUGCGGCUCCUGCAGCCACAUGCAUGAGCCACCCAAGCUCAAGCCUUGAGUGUCAGGUGGGCUUGAGUGGCUAGCACAAGUCUACUCAGGCUGGGAACUUCACCCGCACCUGCAGCGUAGAGACACCCAUAAAAUCCUUGGUCAUUUUUGUUGCGUCCCAGUUGUGGCUGUGGGUUUGGGAAUGCUGAUCUGAGCUAGGUCUGAAGUAGGCCAGGCACUUCCUGGACACAAGAUAAGACAGAUCCUGCCCCAAACAGCUUAUCAUUGAAGUGUCUGGAAUGCAAGUGGGGUGGAUCAACACAAAAAUAAUUUCCCAGCCUCCUUUCCCACAGGCCAGACAGUCAAGAGAAGUAACGGCUUUGGGUCACUACCCAUCUGGGCUGGAUUUGGACUCCCUAGCCAAUCCUCUCUCUCUGCUAUCCAAUCUGCAUCCCAGCAUGACUUGGGUGGCAGACACUGGUGGCUCUUGGUCCUUCUCAUGUGCUAGCUGGAUUGUACUGAAGCAGAGGGUGUGCAAGCACGAGCAUGUAUUUCACUGGUCUCUACUACAUAGAGUCAGCACCGCUCAACUGUGUGUCAAAGCUCAGUACCGCUAACGGAGAUGCUCCUUCAGAUAAACAGAUUUUAGGAGCCUGUGCUUUGGAAGCAGGAGGAUCUGAAUUCUAUCCGUGCUGACACAGACGUCCAAAGAGGCUGUGACACGAGCAUAAGUGACAACCAUGAAGUCCUGGAGAACCAUGGGUUUGUACACUAAAAUCCUAUUACAAGAGACUGGGAUAUACACCAGGAAGUCCUAGGGUUUUGUCCUCUUGAUAUUUCUGCUUGGCCGUGUGAUCCCUUUGGGAAGGAGCAGCACAUGGUAGCAGAGGAGAAAGGACCUCUCCCAGCAGAAAGGCUGCCACAGUUAUCAGACAGCUUUCCUUCCACCUGGGCUUUGUUAUGUACAUGAAGGGGCAGUGAUAUGAAAUAAAGUGAAAGACGAAUGGAAGAGAAUUAAACUCUUAUCACAGUU